AUUGGGCGUAAAGCGAGCGCAGGUGGUUUAUUAAGUCUGGUGUAAAAGGCAGUGGCUCAACCAUUGUAUGCAUUGGAAACUGGUAGACUUGAGUGCAGGAGAGGAGAGUGGAAUUCCAUGUGUAGCGGUGAAAUGCGUAGAUAUAUGGAGGAACACCGGUGGCGAAAGCGGCUCUCUGGCCUGUAACUGACACUGAGGCUG
Molecule: ribosomal RNA, 201 nt
Filed under: Lactococcus lactis
Lineage: Bacteria; Bacillati; Bacillota; Bacilli; Lactobacillales; Streptococcaceae
Description: partial 16S ribosomal RNA
Rfam family: Bacterial small subunit ribosomal RNA
Source: RNAcentral